GCUCCCCGGGCCCGCACAGCGCCCGGCUCCCCGGGCGGCCGAGAGCGAUUACAGCCGUACCGAGCCGUGCGUUUGCAAAUAGCGCUUGUAAAAAUGCAUGGAGGAUGCUGUUCCACAAAGAUGGGUGCGGGUGGCAGAGAUCACGAUAUCUAGAUGGACAAAGUUCAUUUUUGGCUCCAGGUUCACCACCAGAAGAACGAAAUGUGCACUUUAUACCAGAGUAGAAUGUGGCACAAUAAUUAGGCCACUAAGUCCAAGCUUCGUACGCUUAAAUUUGAUUUACUUACAUUUUCACUGAGAUGAGUCGUAGCAAGAAACUUCGUGCCUCCGUGGGGCUGCUUGGGACUCUGUUGCCACCACGUUGUCACUACCGAGCUCCUGCUUUCUCCCACCUCCUACAUACAGCUCAAACUCCAGUUCCCUAGCUCUUCAUAAAGCUUUUUCAGCAGCUUAAUAUUAGGUCCAACUCGCCCAUGUGGAAAAACCUUCAAAUGUCAACAGUCACAGAUAUUAUGGAAAAAGCAGUUGGGCAGUGGCAGCAGUGGCAAAAGUCCUGCUUCAUUAAGGGAUGUAGCCUUUCAGAACCAAAACCCUGGAUGACACAUGCAAACAAGCAGCUUCACAGAUGUACACAUUCCUAUUUGGUCUUGGGUCCUGAACACUGCCAGUCAGGAGUCAAAUGCCAAUUCUGAUGCUCUGAAAUGAUUUGAGGAGGGAAAUCCAGCCCACAGCUGUUCCACUGCUAUGCAAUGUACAGAAGGAAUCAUCUGCUGUAUAUGGUCUGGUGAGAACUUCCUGCAAUAUUUUGAUGGCCAGACCACUUUUAUCACAGAUUUCUCUUUUAUUGCUAUGAGGAAAAUUUUUAGAUCUUUAUAAUCACAGACUGAACAAGUAAGACAUUACCAUUUUUUGCUGUUUGUGCUAUGCCAUCUCUCUUCUCCACAUUUUUUCCUUGCAACAGCAUCGUGAAAGGUCUAUUGAGCAGUAGGGUUGUGACAUUAGGAUCAAAUCCCUUUGUUCACAUCCCCCCAUCUCCUCUGUAAGGGCUGAAAUCUAAGUGACAUGCAAAAUUGUACAGAGCUUUGGAGCACUCACAGUAUGCAAGAUGCUGCUCCAUAACAAGCACAUUCUUGACUCCUGCUAAAUCCAAUGUGAAAUGGUACUAAAGUCUCCAUGGAGUAUGGUGACCACAUUUAAUGCAUUGUUUGUAUUUUCUGCUCUUACUUCCAUGCGCAAUAUUCAUUAAUUUUGGACAGCCUCUAUUUUCUUGUCAUCAUCUAGAAGCCUGUACAACCAUGGACAGGAUCUAGUCUAUGCUGUAUUCCUUAGUUCUGGAUUGUUUUGCUUCCAUGAACAGAAGCCAAAGACUUCUUUUCCACACAGUUCCUCUUCUGGAUGCUGCACUGAUGUACUGGCUGUAUAACAUUUCCAACCUAGUGCCGCUCACUGAGUAAUUUGCACAACCUAUCCAUUUUAGAAAGCAAGCAUGAUGAUUUUCAGAGGAGCCGGUUCUGCUGCACUGCAUCAUUUAGUUGAGGCAACACAACUAAAAAUUACAGGAGCAGAAUUGAUGGAGGACAAGGGAUUUCAAAAUUAUAUACAUUUUAAACAUAAGAAGUGUGAGCUGGUAGGAAAUUUGUUCUCAUUGCUUUUGUUAGCAUUGGCAGUUUCAGAAACAGUCAUGUUUUGAUUGCCUCAUUUAUUUUUAAUAACACUAUUUGCAAGAGGAAUACCAUACUCCUGGAGCACCAUGCCUUUGGGGUUGAUUAGGUAUAGUCUUGUGCACAAGUCUUACAGAGAUUGCAUCGUGUUAAGAGAAAAAAUGCACUAAUAUCAGUGUAGUGCAGAACUGUGUCACUUUAGGGUACAUGUAUCUCUUUUUUUAAUAGGAGAGAAGGCCCUUGUGCAUUCUGGAUCUUGUUUGUGAGUUUUAGCUGCCUAUACUCAGUGUAAGUUGCUUUAACUUUUUUAAUUCUGACAGCCACUACUAAGGACAGCAGAGAAACCUUGCAUCAUCAGAGGAUUUGUGUUGUUUGUUUUUCAACUAACUUAAAUAACUUUGUGUAUUGUUUUUCAACUAACAAUAAACAAGUGGCAUACAAAUAAAAUA
Molecule: long non-coding RNA, 2110 nt
Organism: Cyanistes caeruleus (blue tit)
Lineage: Eukaryota; Metazoa; Chordata; Aves; Passeriformes; Paridae
Source: RefSeq, a predicted model, not a curated record